GCGCGAAACCUCCGCAAUGUGAGAAAUCGCGACGGGGGGGACCCCAAGUGCCAUUCUUAACGGGAUGGCUUUUCUUAAGUGUAAAAAGCUUUUGGAAUAAGAGCUGGGCAAGACCGGUGCCAGCCGCCGCGGUAACACCGGCAGCUCUAGUGGUAGCCAUUUUUAUUGGGCCUAAAGCGUUCGUAGCCGGUUUAAUAAGUCUCUGGUGAAAUCCCGUAGCUUAACUAUGGGAAUUGCUGGAGAUACUAUUAGACUUGAGGUCGGGAGAGGUUAGAGGUACUCCCAGGGUAGGGGUGAAAUCCUGUAAUCCUGGGAGGACCACCUGUGGCGAAGGCGUCUAACUGGAACGAACCUGACGGUGAGGGACGAAAGCUAGGGGCGCGAACCGGAUUAGAUACCCGGGUAGUCCUAGCCGUAAACGAUGCGGACUUGGUGUUAGGAUGGCUUUGAGCCGCCCUAGUGCCGAAGGGAAGCUGUUAAGUCCGCCGCCUGGGAAGUACGGUCGCAAGACUGAAACUUAAAGGAAUUGGCGGGGAGCACCACAACGCGUGGAGCCUGCGGUUU
RNAcentral lists this ribosomal RNA (564 nucleotides) under uncultured Methanobrevibacter sp. Its description in RNAcentral is "bacterial SSU rRNA". It matches the Rfam family "Archaeal small subunit ribosomal RNA", at positions 339 to 903 of the family's 1478-position model. The record is from RNAcentral. Lineage: Archaea; Methanobacteriati; Methanobacteriota; Methanobacteria; Methanobacteriales; Methanobacteriaceae.